GGACCAUCAUGUCGGUCGUGCCUCGGUACGUACUGGCAUUAUUGAUUUCUCCCUUCUGAAGAACCACGAUGUCAUUAAUUUGGUGUCGUGGGGAAUCAGGACUGUUACUUUGAAAAAAUUAGAGUGUUUAAAGCAGGCUAACGCCUGAAUACAUUAGCAUGGAAUAAUGAAAUAGGACGUUCGAUCCUAUUUUGUUGGUUUCUAGGAUCGACGUA
This 215-nucleotide ribosomal RNA is filed under the name Campeiostachys nutans. RNAcentral describes it as "Elymus nutans partial small subunit ribosomal RNA". The stretch from base 38 to 215 matches the Rfam family "Eukaryotic small subunit ribosomal RNA", at positions 685 to 864 of the family's 1831-position model. The record is from RNAcentral. Lineage: Eukaryota; Viridiplantae; Streptophyta; Magnoliopsida; Poales; Poaceae.